CCUACGGGAGGCAGCAGUAGGGAAUCUUCCGCAAUGGACGAAAGUCUGACGGAGCAACGCCGCGUGAACGAUGAAGGCCUUCGGGUCGUAAAGUUCUGUUGUUAGGGAAGAACAAGUGCUAGUUGAAUAAGCUGGCACCUUGACGGUACCUAACCAGAAAGCCACGGCUAACUACGUGCCAGCAGCCGCGGUAAUACGUAGGUGGCAAGCGUUGUCCGGAAUUAUUGGGCGUAAAGCGCGCGCAGGCGGUUUCUUAAGUCUGAUGUGAAAGCCCCCGGCUCAACCGGGGAGGGUCAUUGGAAACUGGGAAACUUGAGUGCAGAAGGGGAAAGUGGAAUUCCAAGUGUAGCGGUGAAAUGCGUAGAGAUUUGGAGGAACGCCAGUGGCGAAGGCGACUUUCUGGUCUGUAACUGACGCUGAGGCGCGAAAGCGUGGGGAGCAAACAGGAUUAGAUACCCUGGUAGUCCACGCUGUAAACGAUGAGUGCUAAGUGUUAGAGGGUUUCCGCCUUUAGUGCUGAAGUUAACGCAUUAAGCACUCCGCCUGGGGAGUACGGUCGCAAGCGNGAACUAACAAGAAGUUAGAGCGUUGAGAGNGCCGAGGCGACGACGAGGGAGGAGG
This 621-nucleotide ribosomal RNA is filed under the name uncultured bacterium. RNAcentral describes it as "bacterial SSU rRNA". The stretch from base 1 to 544 matches the Rfam family "Bacterial small subunit ribosomal RNA", at positions 338 to 873 of the family's 1533-position model. The record is from RNAcentral.